Molecule: ribosomal RNA, 205 nt
Filed under: uncultured bacterium
Lineage: Bacteria
Description: partial 16S ribosomal RNA
Rfam family: Bacterial small subunit ribosomal RNA
Source: RNAcentral
AUUGCAGGCGUGCAACUCGCCUGCAUGAAGUCGGAAUUGCUAGUAAUCGUAGGUCAGCAUACUACGGUGAAUACGUUCCCGGGCCUUGUACACACCGCCCGUCAAACCAUGAGAGUUGGCAACACCCGAAGUCGGUAGUCUAACCGCAAGGAGGACGCCGCCGAAGGUGGGGUUGAUGAUUAGGGUUAAGUCGUAACAAGGUACC